Molecule: ribosomal RNA, 768 nt
Filed under: Triticum aestivum (bread wheat)
Lineage: Eukaryota; Viridiplantae; Streptophyta; Magnoliopsida; Poales; Poaceae
Description: partial small subunit ribosomal RNA
Source: RNAcentral
AUGGCGACGCAAAGUGCGUGUCCGCUGUGUGGAUGCCAAGACUCGUGGAGACAUGCUCUACUGUCAUGCACUAUGUCGAGGUGCAUCUGGGCCUUGUCGGAUGAAACACUUGUGUCGCAGAUAACAGGGAACGAGGAACCUCAUGCAAAGAACUGGUUGUUUGAACUCCAUGAGACACUAGACCACGUGAGCUUCACGAGAAUGGUCGUUACUCUAUGGGCUGUUUGGUACGCGAGGCGGAAGCAAACUGUGCAAGUACGUGAAGUUUCAGGGCAGCAGCGACGUUGGAACCCAUCUCCAGCUGGGAUUGUUAAAAUCAAUGUUGAUGGUGCACUGGCAAGGCAUAAGCGACUGGGAGUGGCUGCUGCAGUCUGCCGAGACUCCAACGGUAAUUUUCUGGGCUCGUCAGCAGUUGUCUUUAAAGGAAUUAGAGACCCUCUUAUUUUGGAAACAUAUGCGUGCCGAGAAGCCCUAUCUUUGGCGGAGGAUCUCUACGAGCAAGAUAUCAUGGUAGCUUCAGACUGCCAAGGUGUGGCGCAAGAUAUCAAUGAAGGCACAGGGGGUGUCAAUGGGGCUGUUAUACAUGAAAUAAUAGACCGUAGAGCGAGUUUCUCUUCUUGCUCGUUUGUUUCCGAGCGAAGGAACAAUAACUUCAAGGCUCAUAAUCUUGCUAAAUUCGCUUGUAAUUUAGAUAUAGGGAGGCAUAUUUGGUUGGGCACUCCUCAUGACCCAAACCGUGUACCUAUGAACAUUGUUUUGAAUCAAUAA